UCCCUCUCCGCCGAGGCGCGAGAUUGCGGCGCGCAGCGCAGCGCAGCGCAUCGACUGCCGCGGGCUCCGCUGGGCGAUUGCAGCCGAGUCCGUUUCUCGUCUAGCUGCCGCCGCGGCGACCGUUGCCUCGUCUUCCUCCCGGACGCCCGUGGGAUAUUGACCAAUACCCAUGAGCAUCUAUAGGCCAACCAGCGCCGUCCUUCAAAAAUAAUUUUUCUUCACAGAAAGUGUUCGUGUAAUGAAGAAAGGAGGC
Molecule: long non-coding RNA, 253 nt
Organism: Suricata suricatta (meerkat)
Lineage: Eukaryota; Metazoa; Chordata; Mammalia; Carnivora; Herpestidae
Exons: 3
Source: RefSeq, a predicted model, not a curated record